Ruditapes philippinarum (Manila clam) is the source of this 151-nucleotide long non-coding RNA. RefSeq lists it as uncharacterized. The record is from RefSeq and is a predicted model, not a curated record. The transcript has 3 exons. NCBI's taxonomy places the organism in Eukaryota, Metazoa, Mollusca, Bivalvia, Venerida, Veneridae.
AGAUGCAGGUGCAAACGUGGGUGGUCGCAGUUCAGGGGAUAUGCAAAAUGGCAGUUCUAGUAGAAGGGCUUCCCUGGCCGCAGAUGCUAAAGGUAAAGGCAAUAAAGCAAAAGGUAAAGAAAAAGGUGGAAAACCUACACAAGAAACAGAG